RNAcentral lists this ribosomal RNA (468 nucleotides) under uncultured bacterium. RNAcentral describes it as "partial 16S ribosomal RNA". It matches the Rfam family "Bacterial small subunit ribosomal RNA", at positions 28 to 507 of the family's 1533-position model. The record is from RNAcentral.
GACGAACGCUGGCGGCGUGCUUAACACAUGCAAGUCGAACGGAAAGGCCCUGCUUUUGUGGGGUGCCCGAGUGGCGAACGGGUGAGUAACACGUGAGUAACCUGCCCUUGACUUUGGGAUAACUUCAGGAAACUGGGGCUAAUACCGUACAGCAGCUCCUGCUGCAUUGUGGGGGUUGGAACUUUUCGGCGGUUGGGGUUGGACUCGCGGCUUAACAGCUUGUUGGUUGGAGAGUGGCUUACCAAGGCUUUGACUGAUACGCGGCCUGAGAAGGUGAACGGGGACAUUGGGACUGAGAGAGGGCGCAGUCGCGUACGGGGGGCAACGGUGGGGAGUAUUGCACAAUGAGACGGAGUCGGAGACGGCAGCGCCGCGGGUGGGAUGACGGUCUUCGGGUUGUGAACAGCUUUAGCUUGUGACGAAGCGUGAGUGACGGUAAUGAGUAAAGAAGCACCGGCUAACUACGUG